UAGGGAAUCUUCCUCAAUGGGCGAAAGCCUGACGGAGCAACGCCGCGUGCGUGAUGAAGGUCUUCGGAUCGUAAAACUCUGUUAUUAGGGAAGAACAAAUGUGUAAGUAACUAUGCACGUCUUGACGGUACCUAAUCAGAAAGCCACGGCUAACUACGUGCCAGCAGCCGCGGUAAUACGUAGGUGGCAAGCGUUAUCCGGAAUUAUUGGGCGUAAAGCGCGCGUAGGCGGUUUUUUAAGUCUGAUGUGAAAGCCCACGGCUCAACCGUGGAGGGUCAUUGGAAACUGGAAAACUUGAGUGCAGAAGAGGAAAGUGGAAUUCCAUGUGUAGCGGUGAAAUGCGCAGAGAUAUGGAGUAACACCCGUGGCGAAGGCGACUUUCUGGUCUGUAACUGACGCUGAUGUGCGAAAGCGUGGGGAUCAAACAGG
RNAcentral lists this ribosomal RNA (429 nucleotides) under Acidobacteriota bacterium. RNAcentral's name for it is "Acidobacteria bacterium partial 16S ribosomal RNA". It matches the Rfam family "Bacterial small subunit ribosomal RNA", at positions 355 to 776 of the family's 1533-position model. Lineage: Bacteria; Pseudomonadati; Acidobacteriota. The record is from RNAcentral.